Molecule: ribosomal RNA, 253 nt
Filed under: uncultured bacterium
Lineage: Bacteria
Description: partial 16S ribosomal RNA
Rfam family: Bacterial small subunit ribosomal RNA
Source: RNAcentral
UACGGAGGGUGCAAACGUUGCUCGGAAUCAUUGGGCGUAAAGCGCACGUAGGCGGCUCGUUAAGUCGGAUGUGAAAGCCCUCGGCUCAACCGAGGAAGUGCAUACGAAACUGGCGAGCUUGAAUAUGGAAGAGGGUCGCGGAAUUCCUGGUGUAGCGGUGAAAUGCGCAGAUAUCAGGAAGAACACCCGUGGCGAAGGCGGCUCUCUGGGACGGUACUGACGCUGAGACGCGAAAGCGUGGGGAGCGAACAGG